UAGGACUCCACUAGGGUCUCGUCAUCCGGUGCCGAUUUCGCCGACAACACCUCCUUGGUGGCCGCCGCAACCACAAUGACAGGGGCAAAACAGUCGCACGACAUAUAAAAAUGGGAAAACAUUCCCAAAUUGUGAGAAAUGGAGAAAAUGGCAAAUCAACAAAGUGAUGUCGUUUGAUAAUAGUAUUUUGGCAAAACCCAAAUCCGGAAUGGCAAACUAGAUGAAACCCGUCUUUGAUAAUGGCUGGAUAGCAAAUAAUGGAUAGUCGGAUCUGAAAAACUAACAGAAGAACUUGGAAGCGUUGAACCUCUCUCGAGGCCGCAUCUCUGUUAAUAUGUGGCGACAACAGCCGUCGCCGUGACAUGUACAUCGGUUUAGCCGCGUGUGGUUGUUCCAGCCUAACUAACACU
RNAcentral lists this long non-coding RNA (410 nucleotides) under Oryza brachyantha (malo sina). Its description in RNAcentral is "long non-coding RNA (OBRA_LNC002907)". Lineage: Eukaryota; Viridiplantae; Streptophyta; Magnoliopsida; Poales; Poaceae. The record is from RNAcentral.